RNAcentral lists this ribosomal RNA (197 nucleotides) under uncultured bacterium. Its description in RNAcentral is "partial 16S ribosomal RNA". It matches the Rfam family "Bacterial small subunit ribosomal RNA", at positions 328 to 539 of the family's 1533-position model. The record is from RNAcentral.
ACGCUCGACACCUACGGGGGCAGCAGUGGGGAAUAUUGCACAAUGGGGGAAACCCUGAUGCAGCGACGCCGCGUGAGUGAAGAAGUAUUUCGGUAUGUAAAGCUCUAUCAGCAGGGAAGAAAAUGACGGUACCUGACUAAGAAGCCCCGGCUAACUACGUGCCAGCAGCCGCGGUAAUCUGAGCGGGCUGGCAAGGC